Molecule: non-coding RNA, 184 nt
Filed under: uncultured Roseburia sp.
Lineage: Bacteria; Bacillati; Bacillota; Clostridia; Lachnospirales; Lachnospiraceae
Source: RNAcentral
UUGGGAGAAAAUUAGUAAAUCUUAGUAUGCCUGUCUAUUCACAGUAAUGCUCUGACAUGGAUGUUAGAACAAGGCUUUACGAGCCAUGGAAGUCAUCGUGCCAUAACUGGCGAGUGUAGAACAUCGUUCACGUCACUCUUGGAAAACCUGAUUCAGGCAUACUUAGUUUUUCUUAUUUUCGGAC